GAUGAACGCUGGAGGAGUGCAUAAUACAUGCAAGUCGAGCGAACAAAAGAGGAGAUUGAUAAUCAGACGUUAGCGGAGGAAGAGUAAGUAACACGUGAAUCAACUAACACUAAGACUGGGAUAACUUCGGGAAACCGGAGCUAAUACCGGAUAAUAUAUUGAACCGCAUGGUUCAAUAGUGAAAGACGGUUUUGCUGUCACUUAUAGAUGGAUCCGCGCCGCAUUAGCUAGUUGGUAAGGUAACGGCUUACCAAGGCGACGAUGCGUAGCCGACCUGAGAGGGUGAUCGGCCACACUGGAACUGAGACACGGUCCAGACUCCUACGGGAGGCAGCAGUAGGGAAUCUUCCGCAAUGUGCGAAAGCCUGACGGAGCAACGCCGCGUGAGUGAUGAAGGUCUUCGGAUCUUAAAACUCUGUUAUUAGGGAUGAACAAAUGUGUAAGUAACUAUGCACGUCUUGACGGUACCUAAUCAGAAAGCCACGGCUAACUACGUG
RNAcentral lists this ribosomal RNA (497 nucleotides) under uncultured bacterium. RNAcentral describes it as "partial 16S ribosomal RNA". It matches the Rfam family "Bacterial small subunit ribosomal RNA", at positions 28 to 507 of the family's 1533-position model. The record is from RNAcentral.